CAAACGGGGUCUGCAGGGGGAGUCCUUUGCUGAGAGUCCCACAGUCUGUCAGUGGCAGGAAGGACUGAUCAGAGAAGGACCUGGAAGGUCAGGUGUGGGGUUGUCCUUUGAGGGAGUGAGGACAGCCGAGGGUGGGUAGGACGCUCGGAACAGCCGGGGUGUGUUGCUUCACCGCAGGCUGCUUGGAAGUGGACACUUUCAGUUUCCCUCUCACGUCCCAGACAUAUUUGGGCCUGAGGUGUAGUUACUGCAGAGACCCGUAGCCAGGUCCUCACAGCUAAGACCCACUGAAUGUGCUUCUGCUCAGAGGAAGAUCUCUGGAUGAGGGUGAACCCGAAGCUCCAGCCCCAGGUCCCGUGCUAAGCAGGGGCAUAGUCUGGAUUUGAACCCAGAGGCAAACCUAGAAGGCUUUGGAUUGUUGAAGUCACGUUUCUCCCCAAACACCUGCAUCGCAAGGCCUGGUGUUCCCUUCGGCCCUGCCUGCGCCCUCCAAGGAUUGCCUGGCUCUGGGUGAGUCCCUUCCCUGGGGAUUCUUUGUUCACAUCUCUUAAGAACUUGGCUUCAGUCUUUUCAUGUUGAUUCAUAGGCUCUGUCAUGUUUCCUGGGUGCUCAGCUUUCAUCUGCUCUAAGUACGGAGGGUACUGCCUCCUGGUCUCUGACUGUAGUCUGACUUUGUUCACUGUGUCCUUUGCAAUUUUUAAUGUUUAAGAGGUCAGAUAACUGAAACUUUCCUUUUAUGGC
Callorhinus ursinus (northern fur seal) is the source of this 741-nucleotide long non-coding RNA. RefSeq lists it as uncharacterized. The record is from RefSeq and is a predicted model, not a curated record. NCBI's taxonomy places the organism in Eukaryota, Metazoa, Chordata, Mammalia, Carnivora, Otariidae.